This is a ribosomal RNA of Gorilla gorilla gorilla (western lowland gorilla), 83 nucleotides long. The record is from Ensembl. NCBI's taxonomy places the organism in Eukaryota, Metazoa, Chordata, Mammalia, Primates, Hominidae.
UGUUACGGCCACACCAUCCUGAACACAUCCGACCUCAUCUGAUCUUGGAAGCUAAGGAGACUUGGGCCUGGAGGAAGAAACAC